AAUAGUUCAUAGUUUCAUAGUUUCAGUGCAAGUAGAGCAUUCCAUUGUUUAGCUGCUUCACUGACCUCCUGCACGCUGCGAUAUUCGAGCAUUUCAAGGACUUCACAAAGGAGCUUCGCUAUCCUUUGACUGAUGACAUUGCUGGGCCUUCAAUGGAUGCCAAUGGGUCAAACGAGCUGUGGGACAGGCCAGUGCCACUCAAUCUUCUGCGGUCAAUCGCGGGUCAAAGAGGAGGCGGUGGGCGUGGCCAUUGGCUAAUUGGCGGCCGUAGUUCAUUAGUGCGCGAGUCACACGUUGAUUAGGCGGUUUGGAUUCGGAUGCGGUUGCAGUUUGGUGUCGCAACCAUAACAACAAUAACAAUCCGCUGAAAUUGAUGGACUGGAAACAGGAUGCAAAUGGACGCCACAAAGGUGUCCUUUGACCCGUUGCAAUGCCUUUCAUUAGGGCAGAAUUUGAUGAUGAUGGCAGAAGAGCCAUGUUUGUUUUACGUUAAGGGUUAGCUCAAAGGAGUUAUAAAUAUUUCUUGAUAAAAUAAUAAUAUUAAAUAAUUUCAA
Drosophila yakuba is the source of this 554-nucleotide long non-coding RNA. RefSeq lists it as uncharacterized. The transcript is spliced from 2 exons. The record is from RefSeq and is a predicted model, not a curated record. NCBI's taxonomy places the organism in Eukaryota, Metazoa, Arthropoda, Insecta, Diptera, Drosophilidae.